UACGUAGGGGGCAAGCGUUGUCCGGAUUUAUUGGGCGUAAAGAGCGUGUAGGCGGCCAGAUAGGUCCGUUGUGAAAACUCGAGGCUCAACCUCGAGACGCCGAUGGAAACCAUCUGGCUAGAGUCCGGAAGAGGAGAGUGGAAUUCCCGGUGUAGCGGUGAAAUGCGCAGAGAUCGGGAAGAACACCCGUGGCGAAGGCGGCUCUCUAGUACGGUACUGACGCUGAGGUGCGAAAGCGUGGGGAGCAAACAGG
RNAcentral lists this ribosomal RNA (253 nucleotides) under uncultured bacterium. RNAcentral describes it as "partial 16S ribosomal RNA". It matches the Rfam family "Bacterial small subunit ribosomal RNA", at positions 524 to 776 of the family's 1533-position model. The record is from RNAcentral.